RNAcentral lists this ribosomal RNA (87 nucleotides) under Actinomadura rubrisoli. Lineage: Bacteria; Bacillati; Actinomycetota; Actinomycetes; Streptosporangiales; Thermomonosporaceae. The record is from RNAcentral.
GGUCCCAUCCCGAACCCGGAAGUUAAGCCCUUCAGCGCCGAUGGUACUGCACGGGAGACUGUGUGGGAGAGUAGGACACCGCCGGAC